GUGGAGUCGUUGUUGAAAUACCACUCUGAUCGGAUUGGAUACCUUAACCUUGGCCCAUGAUCUGGGUUGGGGACAGUGCCUGGUGGGUAGUUUAACUGGGGCGGUUGCCUCCCAAAAUGUAACGGAGGCGCCCAAAGGUUCCCUCAGCCUGGUUGGCAAUCAGGUAGCGAGUGUAAGUGCACAAGGGAGCUUGACUGUGAGACAGACAUGUCGAACAGGGACGAAAGUCGGGACUAGUGAUCCGGCACCUACUUGUGGAUGUGGUGUCGCUCAACGGAUAAAAGGUACCCCGGGGAUAACAGGCUGAUCUUCCCCAAGAGUCCAUAUCGACGGGAUGGUUUGGCACCUCGAUGUCGGCUCGUCGCAUCCUGGGGCUGGAGUAGGUCCCAAGGG
Molecule: ribosomal RNA, 393 nt
Filed under: Corynebacterium sp. HMSC055A01
Lineage: Bacteria; Bacillati; Actinomycetota; Actinomycetes; Mycobacteriales; Corynebacteriaceae
Description: bacterial LSU rRNA
Rfam family: Bacterial large subunit ribosomal RNA
Source: RNAcentral